Molecule: ribosomal RNA, 820 nt
Filed under: uncultured Staphylococcus sp.
Lineage: Bacteria; Bacillati; Bacillota; Bacilli; Caryophanales; Staphylococcaceae
Description: bacterial SSU rRNA
Rfam family: Bacterial small subunit ribosomal RNA
Source: RNAcentral
CUUGACGUUAGCGGCGGACGGGUGAGUAACACGUGGGUAACCUACCUAUAAGACUGGGACAACUUCGGGAAACCGGAGCUAAUACCGGAUAAUAUGUUGAACCGCAUGGUUCAAUAGUGAAAGAUGGUUUUGCUAUCACUUAUAGAUGGACCCGCGCCGUAUUAGCUAGUUGGUGAGGUAACGGCUCACCAAGGCAACGAUACGUAGCCGACCUGAGAGGGUGAUCGGCCACACUGGAACUGAGACACGGUCCAGACUCCUACGGGAGGCAGCAGUAGGGAAUCUUCCGCAAUGGGCGAAAGCCUGACGGAGCAACGCCGCGUGAGUGAUGAAGGUCUUAGGAUCGUAAAACUCUGUUAUUAGGGAAGAACAAACGUGUAAGUAACUGUGCACGUCUUGACGGUACCUAAUCAGAAAGCCACGGCUAACUACGUGCCAGCAGCCGCGGUAAUACGUAGGUGGCAAGCGUUAUCCGGAAUUAUUGGGCGUAAAGCGCGCGUAGGCGGUUUUUUAAGUCUGAUGUGAAAGCCCACGGCUCAACCGUGGAGGGUCAUUGGAAACUGGAAAACUUGAGUGCAGAAGAGGAAAGUGGAAUUCCAUGUGUAGCGGUGAAAUGCGCAGAGAUAUGGAGGAACACCAGUGGCGAAGGCGACUUUCUGGUCUGUAACUGACGCUGAUGUGCGAAAGCGUGGGGAUCAAACAGGAUUAGAUACCCUGGUAGUCCACGCCGUAAACGAUGAGUGCUAAGUGUUAGGGGGUUUCCGCCCCUUAGUGCUGCAGCUAACGCAUAAGCACUCCGCCUGGGGAGUACGACCGCAAG